This 440-nucleotide ribosomal RNA is filed under the name uncultured bacterium. Its description in RNAcentral is "partial 16S ribosomal RNA". It matches the Rfam family "Bacterial small subunit ribosomal RNA", at positions 338 to 795 of the family's 1533-position model. The record is from RNAcentral.
CCUACGGGAGGCUGCAGUGGGGAAUAUUGCACAAUGGGGGGAACCCUGAAGCAGCGACGCCGCGUGAGUGAAGAAGUCUUUCCGUAUGUAAAGCUCUAUCAGCAGGGAAGAAAAUGACGGUACCUGACUAAGCAGCCCCGGACAACUACGUGCCAGCCGCCGCGGUAACACGUAGGGGGCAAGCGUUAUCCGGAUUUACUGGGUGUAAAGGGAGCGUAGACGGUUAUGCAAGUCUGAAGUGAAAGUCCGAGGCUCAACCAUGGGAUUGCUUUGGAAACUGUAAAACUGGAGUGCAGGAGAGGUAAGCGGAAUUCCUAGUGUAGCGGUGAAAUGCGUAGAUAUUAGGAGGAACACCAGUGGCGAAGGCAGCUUACUGGACUGUAACUGACGUUGAGGCUCGAAGGCGUGGGGAGCAAACAGGAUUAGAUACCCCUGUAGUC